Long non-coding RNA from Pygocentrus nattereri (red-bellied piranha), 625 nucleotides. NCBI's taxonomy places the organism in Eukaryota, Metazoa, Chordata, Actinopteri, Characiformes, Serrasalmidae. The record is from Ensembl.
GUUAGUACUUCACCAGUAGCUUAAACCGAUUUUAUUUAGCUCUGCUGUUUGCUCAUAUGCCGUUAUUCCUGGUGGCAGUUUUCCGAACUCUGCUGUCCACAGUGACCAUGCCUCUACAGAAGGAGAUUCUGAGAGAAGUCUGGACUGAGAAGACAAUUCAUGAUGAAACAUCACUGCUUGACGGACAGCACCAGCGUACAUCAAUAGAAGCCCAAGAAGAAGAAGGCGGAGUCUACUGUAGCAGAGACCAAUGGGACAGAAGCUAAACCGAAAAAAACUAAGAGUAAAAAAAAUGGAGAAUUGUCCACAGAGAACAGCCCGGCUGCUCAAAGUAAGACAGAGCUUUAAGCCCACAGUGUUUGUCUUUCAUGGUACCUUUGCAAUAAAUCUGCCUAAACUCUGAAGCACGAAAUCCUAACUUUGGCACAAAAUCACUGAAACAGAUGGCGAGAAGGUGAAGAAAAAGAAAACGGAGAAGGAGAAAGAAAAGGAAUCGCUGCCAAAAGAAAAAGCUGAACCCAAAAAGAAAGCCAAAAGUGCCCCAAAGAAGAAGAAGAGUGAGUUCAUUUACUGUCUCCCUUAUAAUAACAGUACAAACUUGUGCUACCUGCAAAAUAAAUCUCAC